UUAUUUGAGAGUUUGAUCCUGGCUCAGGAUGAACGCUGGCGGCGUGCCUAACACAUGCAAGUUGAGCGAUUUACUUCGGUAAAGAGCGGCGGACGGGUGAGUAACGCGUGGGUAACCUACCCUGUACACACGGAUAACAUACCGAAAGGUAUGCUAAUACGGGAUAAUAUAUUUGAGAGGCAUCUCUUAAAUAUCAAAGGUGAGCCAGUACAGGAUGGACCCGCGUCUGAUUAGCUAGUUGGUAAGGUAACGGCUUACCAAGGCGACGAUCAGUAGCCGACCUGAGAGGGUGAUCGGCCACAUUGGAACUGAGACA
RNAcentral lists this ribosomal RNA (316 nucleotides) under Clostridioides difficile. Its description in RNAcentral is "bacterial SSU rRNA". It matches the Rfam family "Bacterial small subunit ribosomal RNA", at positions 1 to 326 of the family's 1533-position model. The record is from RNAcentral. Lineage: Bacteria; Bacillati; Bacillota; Clostridia; Peptostreptococcales; Peptostreptococcaceae.